AUUGAACGCUGGCGGAAUGCUUUACACAUGCAAGUCGAACGGCAGCACGGGGCAACCUGGUGGCGAGUGGCGAACGGGUGAGUAAUACAUCGGAACGUGCCCAAUCGUGGGGGAUAACGUAGCGAAAGCUACGCUAAUACCGCAUACGAUCUACGGAUGAAAGCGGGGGAUCGCAAGACCUCGCGCGAUUGGAGCGGCCGAUAUCAGAUUAGCUAGUUGGUGGGGUAAAAGCUCACCAAGGCGACGAUCUGUAGCUGGUCUGAGAGGACGACCAGCCACACUGGAACUGAGACACGGUCCAGACUCCUACGGGAGGCAGCAGUGGGGAAUUUUGGACAAUGGGCGCAAGCCUGAUCCAGCAAUGCCGCGUGCAGGAUGAAGGCCUUCGGGUUGUAAACUGCUUUUGUACGGAACGAAACGGUGAGCUCUGAUAAAGCUUGCUAAUGACGGUACCGUAAGAAUAAGCACCGGCUAACUACGUG
RNAcentral lists this ribosomal RNA (482 nucleotides) under uncultured bacterium. Its description in RNAcentral is "bacterial SSU rRNA". It matches the Rfam family "Bacterial small subunit ribosomal RNA", at positions 30 to 507 of the family's 1533-position model. The record is from RNAcentral.